UACGUAGGUGGCAAGCGUUGUCCGGAAUUACUGGGCGUAAAGAGUGUGUAGGCGGUGCUCUAAGUCUGUUGUGAAAUCUCCCGGCUUAACCGGGAGGGUGCGGCGGAAACUGGAGUGCUUGAGGGUGGGAGAGGUAAGCGGAAUUCCUGGUGUAGCGGUGAAAUGCGCAGAUAUCAGGAGGAACACCGGUGGCGAAGGCGGGUCUCUGGGCCGAUACUGACGCUGAGGAGCGAAAGCGUGGGGAGCAAACAGG
Molecule: ribosomal RNA, 253 nt
Filed under: uncultured bacterium
Lineage: Bacteria
Description: partial 16S ribosomal RNA
Rfam family: Bacterial small subunit ribosomal RNA
Source: RNAcentral